This 944-nucleotide ribosomal RNA is filed under the name Klebsiella pneumoniae. RNAcentral's name for it is "partial 23S ribosomal RNA". It matches the Rfam family "Bacterial large subunit ribosomal RNA", at positions 419 to 1365 of the family's 2925-position model. The record is from RNAcentral. Lineage: Bacteria; Pseudomonadati; Pseudomonadota; Gammaproteobacteria; Enterobacterales; Enterobacteriaceae.
GGGACACGUGGUAUCCUGUCUGAAUAUGGGGGGACCAUCCUCCAAGGCUAAAUACUCCUGACUGACCGAUAGUGAACCAGUACCGUGAGGGAAAGGCGAAAAGAACCCCGGCGAGGGGAGUGAAAAAGAACCUGAAACCGUGUACGUACAAGCAGUGGGAGCACCUUCGGGUGUGACUGCGUACCUUUUGUAUAAUGGGUCAGCGACUUAUAUUCUGUAGCAAGGUUAACCGUAUAGGGGAGCCGCAGGGAAACCGAGUCUUAACUGGGCGUUAAGUUGCAGGGUAUAGACCCGAAACCCGGUGAUCUAGCCAUGGGCAGGUUGAAGGUUGGGUAACACUAACUGGAGGACCGAACCGACUAAUGUUGAAAAAUUAGCGGAUGACUUGUGGCUGGGGGUGAAAGGCCAAUCAAACCGGGAGAUAGCUGGUUCUCCCCGAAAGCUAUUUAGGUAGCGCCUCGUGAACUCAUCUUCGGGGGUAGAGCACUGUUUCGGCUAGGGGGUCAUCCCGACUUACCAACCCGAUGCAAACUACGAAUACCGAAGAAUGUUAUCACGGGAGACACACGGCGGGUGCUAACGUCCGUCGUGAAGAGGGAAACAACCCAGACCGCCAGCUAAGGUCCCAAAGUCAUGGUUAAGUGGGAAACGAUGUGGGAAGGCACAGACAGCCAGGAUGUUGGCUUAGAAGCAGCCAUCAUUUAAAGAAAGCGUAAUAGCUCACUGGUCGAGUCGGCCUGCGCGGAAGAUGUAACGGGGCUAAACCAUGCACCGAAGCUGCGGCAGCGACACUAUGUGUUGUUGGGUAGGGGAGCGUUCUGUAAGCCUGCGAAGGUGUGCUGUGAGGCAUGCUGGAGGUAUCAGAAGUGCGAAUGCUGACAUAAGUAACGAUAAAGCGGGUGAAAAGCCCGCUCGCCGGAAGACCAAGGGUUCCUGUCCAACGU